UCUUGGAUUGUUUGAUGAUGUUAGAAAUUUUUUUUCAAAAUUUGGGGAACUACUGGGCAAGGGGCCAUGCAAGUCGUACAUGUUAAAGAACCCUUUACUGAAGUCAGUGAAUAUAUUUAAGUAAUGCCUACCUGCAUUGGUAGUCCAUAAUAAUGGUAACACAAUUCAAUGAAUUCCCAUUUCCGUAUUGAAAUUCUACCACCCUUCACUGAUUCCGCCAUUCGGUGAUUUUUCCUGGAAUGUUUAGAAUCGGUAACGCCUACCUGCCGCCCGAGCUGAUUAAUUCAGGAAUGGAAUUCGACCUACGAAGAUUUGAACAUCGAGGCGAAACAUUUGCUUUCUUUGAGGACGGACACGGCCUGCCUGUUGUUGCACGAUCAGCAGUACUAUCGGAUUUGUGGGCCAUGGAAGAAACUAUUAAGGGUGGAGUGUGCAGGAGCCAAAGUUUAAAGCUAAAGAGCUUAGUUGAAUGAUUACUGCAGCAGCUCAAUCCAACAUUUUCCGCAGUGAUAGCA
This is a long non-coding RNA of Topomyia yanbarensis, 515 nucleotides long. RefSeq lists it as uncharacterized. Lineage: Eukaryota; Metazoa; Arthropoda; Insecta; Diptera; Culicidae. The transcript is spliced from 3 exons. The record is from RefSeq and is a predicted model, not a curated record.